This 408-nucleotide ribosomal RNA is filed under the name Acanthamoeba lenticulata. RNAcentral's name for it is "SSU rRNA". It matches the Rfam family "Eukaryotic small subunit ribosomal RNA", at positions 753 to 1093 of the family's 1831-position model. The record is from RNAcentral. Lineage: Eukaryota; Discosea; Longamoebia; Acanthamoebidae.
UACCGUGAAAAAAUUAGAGUGUUCAAAGCGGGCAGAUAUUUUUCCUGCCACCGAAUACAUUAGCAUGGGAUAAUGGAAUAGGACCCUGACCUCCUAUUUUCAGUUGGUUUUGUUUACAGCGAGGUUAUAUCAGGGUAAUGAUUAAUAGGGAUAGUUGGGGGCAUUAAUAUUUAAUUGUCAGAGGUGAAAUUCUUGGAUUUAUGAAAGAUUAACUUCUGCGAAAGCGUUUGCCAAGGAUGUUUUCAUUAAUCAAGAACGAAAGUUAGGGGAUCGAAGACGAUCAGAUACCGUCGUAGUCUUAACCAUAAACGAUGCCGACCAGCGAUUAGGAGACGUUGAAUACAAAACACCGCCGUUAAUCCUUUCGGGGGUUAAUGGUUGGUGAAUGACUCCCCUAGCAGCUUGUGA